RNAcentral lists this transfer RNA (69 nucleotides) under Urocitellus parryii (Arctic ground squirrel). RNAcentral's name for it is "Spermophilus parryii (Arctic ground squirrel) tRNA". It matches the Rfam family "tRNA". From Rfam's summary of the family: Transfer RNA (tRNA) molecules are approximately 80 nucleotides in length. Their secondary structure includes four short double-helical elements and three loops (D, anti-codon, and T loops). The record is from Rfam by way of RNAcentral. RNAcentral also lists the same sequence under 1 other name. Lineage: Eukaryota; Metazoa; Chordata; Mammalia; Rodentia; Sciuridae.
GGGGUUGUGGCUCAGUGGUAGAGUGCUUGACUCACAUGCAUGAGGACCUUGGUUCAAUCCUCAGCACCA